GGACUACUAGGGUUUCUAAUCCUGUUUGAUCCCCACGCUGUCGCGCCUGAGCGUCAGAAACGGUCCAGUGAGCCGCCUUCGCCACCGGUGUUCUUCCCAAUAUCUACGAAUUUCACCUCUACACUGGGAAUUCCACUCACCUCUACCGUACUCAAGCUCUGCAGUUUCAGAGGCAUUUCCAAGGUUGAGCCUUGGGCUUUCACCCCUGACUUGAAGAGCCGCCUGCGCGCGCUUUACGCCCAGUAAUUCCGAACAACGCUAGCCCCCUUCGUAUUACCGCGGCUGCUGGCAC
Molecule: ribosomal RNA, 292 nt
Filed under: uncultured bacterium
Lineage: Bacteria
Description: partial 16S ribosomal RNA
Source: RNAcentral